This 476-nucleotide ribosomal RNA is filed under the name Euphausia superba (Antarctic krill). RNAcentral's name for it is "large subunit ribosomal RNA". The record is from RNAcentral. Lineage: Eukaryota; Metazoa; Arthropoda; Malacostraca; Euphausiacea; Euphausiidae.
AGGUGAACAGACUUUUAAAGCUGCUACACCUUAAAGAUUUUUUAAUUCAACAUCGAGGUCGUAAUCUUUCUUGUAGAUAAGAACUCUCAAAGAAAAUUACGCUGUUAUCCCUAAAGUAACUUAAUCUUAUAAUCUUUAUUAAAGGAUCAUUCACACAAUCUGAUUAUAAAUCAUUAAAACUUUAAAAACAGUUACUUUUUAUAUUUUUAUCGCCCCAAUAAAAUAAAUUCCACAAUAAAAGUUUUAAUCAACUACUCCACUUUUUUUAUUUUAUUUAUCAAGUUUUAUAGGGUCUUAUCGUCACUUUAAUUUAUUUAAGCCUUUUUACUUAAAAGUUAAGUUCAAUAAAUUUAGCUGAAGACAGUUUGUUUCUUGUGCAACCAUUCAUACAAGCCUCCAAUUAAGAGACAAAUGAUUAUGCUACCUUUGCACGGUCAAAAUACCGCGGCCCUUUAAAAUUCAGUGGGCAGGCCAGA